UUGGAGGGCAAGUCUGGUGCCAGCAGCCGCGGUAAUUCCAGCUCCAAUAGCGUAUAUUAAAGUUGUUGCAGUUAAAAAGCUCGUAGUUGAACUUCGGGACCAGUGGGUUGGUCGUGCCUCUGGUACGUACUGGCCUUACCGGUUCCUCCCUUCUGACGAACCACGAUGCCAUUAAUUUGGUGUUGUGGGGAAUCAGGACUGUUACUUUGAAAAAAUUAGAGUGUUUAAAGCAGGCUAAAGCUUGAAUAGAUUAGCAUGGAAUAACGAAAUAGGACGUUUGAUCUUAUUUUGUUGGUUUCUAAGAUCGACGUAAUGAUUAAUAGGGAUAGUUGGG
RNAcentral lists this ribosomal RNA (334 nucleotides) under Glomus sp. RNAcentral's name for it is "SSU rRNA". It matches the Rfam family "Eukaryotic small subunit ribosomal RNA", at positions 548 to 886 of the family's 1831-position model. The record is from RNAcentral. Lineage: Eukaryota; Fungi; Glomeromycota; Glomeromycetes; Glomerales; Glomeraceae.